GGGUCAGUAGGUUGGUCGUGCCACCGGUACGUACUGGUCUCACUGAUUCCUCCUUCCUGAAGAACCGUAAUGCCAUUAAUUUGGUGUUGCGGGGAAACAGGACUGCUACUUUGAAAAAAUUAGAGUGUUUAAAGCAAGCUAACGCUUGAAUACAUUAGCAUGGAAUAAUGAAAUAGGACGAUCGAUCCUAUUUUGUUGGUCUCUAGGAUUGACGUA
Molecule: ribosomal RNA, 216 nt
Filed under: Glomeromycotina sp.
Lineage: Eukaryota; Fungi; Glomeromycota
Description: partial small subunit ribosomal RNA
Rfam family: Eukaryotic small subunit ribosomal RNA (bases 44-216)
Source: RNAcentral